This 492-nucleotide ribosomal RNA is filed under the name uncultured bacterium. RNAcentral describes it as "partial 16S ribosomal RNA". It matches the Rfam family "Bacterial small subunit ribosomal RNA", at positions 38 to 507 of the family's 1533-position model. The record is from RNAcentral.
GGGGGGGGGGGGGGGGGGGGGGGGGGGGGGGAGGGGGGGGGGGAGGGGGGGGGGGGGUGGCGCUGGCGGGUGGCGGGGGGCGGGCGGGUGGGGAAUGCGUCGGGAUCGCCCUUUUCGUGGGGGGUAACGGAGGGCAACUUACGCUGGUACCGCAUCCGACCUACGGGGGGAAGCAGGCGGUCUUCGGACCUCGCGCGAUUUGUUGAGCCGAGGUCGGAGUAGCUAGUUGGCUGGGUAAAGGGCCACAAAGGCGACGAUCCGUAGCUGGUCUGUGAGGAUGAUCAGCCACACUGGAACUGAGACACGGUCCAGACUCCUACGGGAGGCAGCAGUGGGGAAUGUUGGACAAUGGGCGCAAGCCUGAUCCAGCCAUACCGCGUGGGUGAAGAAGGCCUUCGGGUUGUAAAGACCUUUUGUUGGGAAAGAAAAGCAGCAGGUUAAUACCCCGCUGUUCUGACGGUACCCAAAGAAUAAGCACCGGCUAACUUCGUG